This 67-nucleotide transfer RNA is filed under the name Lepas anserifera. Its description in RNAcentral is "tRNA-Asp". Lineage: Eukaryota; Metazoa; Arthropoda; Thecostraca; Lepadidae. The record is from RNAcentral.
AAAAACUUAGUUAAUCUAUAACUUAAGCUUGUCAUGCUUAAAUAGCUCGAUUUAAGAGCAGUUUUUG